GUGUCGUCAGCUCGUGCCGUGAGAUGUUGGGUUAAGUCCCGCAACGAGCGCAACCCUCGACCUUAGUUGCCAGCAUUCAGUUGGGCACUCUAAGGUGACUGCCGGCUAAAAGUCGGAGGAAGGUGGGGAUGACGUCAAAUCAUCAUGCCCCUUAUGACCUGGGCUACACACGUGCUACAAUGGGCGGUACAAAGGGUCGCGAACCCGCGAGGGGGAGCCAAUCCCAAAAAGCCGCUCUCAGUUCGGAUUGCAGGCUGCAACUCGCCUGCAUGAAGCCGGAAUCGCUAGUAAUCGCGGAUCAGCAUGCCGCGGUGAAUACGUUCCCGGGCCUU
This 332-nucleotide ribosomal RNA is filed under the name uncultured Anoxybacillus sp. Its description in RNAcentral is "bacterial SSU rRNA". It matches the Rfam family "Bacterial small subunit ribosomal RNA", at positions 1049 to 1382 of the family's 1533-position model. Lineage: Bacteria; Bacillati; Bacillota; Bacilli; Caryophanales; Anoxybacillaceae. The record is from RNAcentral.